UUAUUUGACGUUACCUACAGAAGAAGCACCGGCUAACUCCCGUGCCAGCAGCCGCGGUAAUACGGAGGGUGCGAGCGUUAAUCGGAAUUACUGGGCGUAAAAGCGCAUGCAGGCGGCCUGUUAAGUCAGAUGUGAAAGCCCGGGGCUUAACCUCGGAAUUGCAUUUUGAAACUGGCAGACUAGAGUACUGUAGAGGGGGUAGAAUUUCAGGUGUAGCGGUGAAAUGCGUAGAGAUCUGAAGGAAUACCGGUGGCGAAGGCGGCCCCCUGGACAGAUACUGACACUCAGAUGCGAAAGCGUGGGGAGCAAACAGGAUUAGAUACCCCUGGUAG
RNAcentral lists this ribosomal RNA (332 nucleotides) under uncultured bacterium. Its description in RNAcentral is "bacterial SSU rRNA". It matches the Rfam family "Bacterial small subunit ribosomal RNA", at positions 465 to 793 of the family's 1533-position model. The record is from RNAcentral.